UUUUUAAUUCAGGCACUGUUUUGAACACCUAAAACUCUUCGAGCUCAUUAAUCUUCUGGUAAACAGAUAUCUCCUGGUUAUUAGAAGCGAGGCAGGCAGCCAGUGGAUGCGAACAUUAUACGCCAGAGUGCUUUUUUGCAUGAACCCACCUGUACUUGCGUCCAAGCCAACCUCCCUGGCCCGGGAUACCCUCGGGGCCUUGUGUCCACAUGGGAACCAGAUACCCACACAGCACAAAAGAGGCAGCGGCACCCAGCUCCACUGGGCCACCACCCCCCAGCACCAGUAAGUAUAUCCUGGCUGAGUCCGAAAAAGCUUCAGAUUCACAUUUAAACCCAAACCAUCCAAACAUAAACACCCCAACCAUCAAUUUCACACAGACGA
Brienomyrus brachyistius is the source of this 384-nucleotide long non-coding RNA. RefSeq lists it as uncharacterized. The transcript is spliced from 3 exons. The record is from RefSeq and is a predicted model, not a curated record. NCBI's taxonomy places the organism in Eukaryota, Metazoa, Chordata, Actinopteri, Osteoglossiformes, Mormyridae.